This 800-nucleotide ribosomal RNA is filed under the name uncultured bacterium. Its description in RNAcentral is "bacterial SSU rRNA". It matches the Rfam family "Bacterial small subunit ribosomal RNA", at positions 1 to 804 of the family's 1533-position model. The record is from RNAcentral.
UAGAGUUUGAUCCUGGCUCAGAUUGAACGCUGGCGGCAUGCCUUACACAUGCAAGUCGAACGGUAACGCGGGGCAACCUGGCGACGAGUGGCGAACGGGUGAGUAACGCAUCGGAACGUGCCCAGUAGUGGGGGAUAGCCCGGCGAAAGCCGGAUUAAUACCGCAUACGACCUACGGGUGAAAGGGGGGGAUCGCAAGACCUCUCGCUAUUGGAGCGGCCGAUGUCAGAUUAGGUAGUUGGUGGGGUAAAGGCCUACCAAGCCGACGAUCUGUAGCUGGUCUGAGAGGACGACCAGCCACACUGGGACUGAGACACGGCCCAGACUCCUACGGGAGGCAGCAGUGGGGAAUUUUGGACAAUGGACGCAAGUCUGAUCCAGCCAUGCCGCGUGCGGGAAGAAGGCCUUCGGGUUGUAAACCGCUUUUGUCAGGGAAGAAAUCUUCUGGGUUAAUACCUCGGGAGGAUGACGGUACCUGAAGAAUAAGCACCGGCUAACUACGUGCCAGCAGCCGCGGUAAUACGUAGGGUGCAAGCGUUAAUCGGAAUUACUGGGCGUAAAGCGUGCGCAGGCGGUUUUGUAAGACAGAGGUGAAAUCCCCGGGCUCAACCUGGGAACUGCCUUUGUGACUGCAAGGCUUGAGUGCGGCAGAGGGGGAUGGAAUUCCGCGUGUAGCAGUGAAAUGCGUAGAUAUGCGGAGGAACACCGAUGGCGAAGGCAAUCCCCUGGGCCUGCACUGACGCUCAUGCACGAAAGCGUGGGGAGCAAAAAGGGUUAGAUACCCUGGUAGUCCACGCCCUA